This 288-nucleotide ribosomal RNA is filed under the name uncultured bacterium. RNAcentral describes it as "partial 16S ribosomal RNA". It matches the Rfam family "Bacterial small subunit ribosomal RNA", at positions 29 to 334 of the family's 1533-position model. The record is from RNAcentral.
AACGAACGCUGGCGGCAGGCCUAACACAUGCAAGUCGAACGAGAAGCUAUCUUCGGAUAGUGGACAGUGGCGCACGGGUGCGUAACGCGUGGGAAUAUGCCCUUAGGUACGGGACAACAGUUGGAAACGACUGCUAAUACCGUAUAAAGUCUUUGGACCAAAGAUUUAUCGCCUAAGGAUUAGCCCGCGUCGGAUUAGCUAGUUGGUGAGGUAAUGGCUCACCAAGGCAACGAUCCGUAGCUGGUCUGAGAGGAUGAUCAGCCACACUGGGACUGAGACACGGCCCAG